Molecule: long non-coding RNA, 311 nt
Organism: Carassius auratus (goldfish)
Lineage: Eukaryota; Metazoa; Chordata; Actinopteri; Cypriniformes; Cyprinidae
Exons: 3
Source: RefSeq, a predicted model, not a curated record
UUGCCUCGUGGACGCGGUAUUGGAUCAAACUUUGUGGUUCCACUCUCAUAUUCUACGGAUCCAAAGCCCUGCGAGCCACAGAACGGAAACAUUACAAGUCUUCGCCGUGUAAGAAAGUGUGUGUUGUGGGCUGGAUGGUGGUGCUGCCGGAUGAUCCAGCUCAACCCAACAUCUUUCAGCUCAACCAUCCUGACAAAGGGAAUGUUUACAAGUUUCAGACAAGCGAUCGGUUCACUGCGAUCAUGUGGCACAGACACCUGGAGGAGGCGAGUCGGAGAAGAAGACCUCAGGUAUCAACAGGCACUGGUUCA